RNAcentral lists this ribosomal RNA (1520 nucleotides) under Klebsiella pneumoniae subsp. ozaenae. RNAcentral describes it as "bacterial SSU rRNA". It matches the Rfam family "Bacterial small subunit ribosomal RNA". The record is from RNAcentral. Lineage: Bacteria; Pseudomonadati; Pseudomonadota; Gammaproteobacteria; Enterobacterales; Enterobacteriaceae.
AGAGUUUGAUCAUGGCUCAGAUUGAACGCUGGCGGCAGGCCUAACACAUGCAAGUCGAGCGGUAGCACAGAGAGCUUGCUCUCGGGUGACGAGCGGCGGACGGGUGAGUAAUGUCUGGGAAACUGCCUGAUGGAGGGGGAUAACUACUGGAAACGGUAGCUAAUACCGCAUAACGUCGCAAGACCAAAGUGGGGGACCUUCGGGCCUCAUGCCAUCAGAUGUGCCCAGAUGGGAUUAGCUAGUAGGUGGGGUAACGGCUCACCUAGGCGACGAUCCCUAGCUGGUCUGAGAGGAUGACCAGCCACACUGGAACUGAGACACGGUCCAGACUCCUACGGGAGGCAGCAGUGGGGAAUAUUGCACAAUGGGCGCAAGCCUGAUGCAGCCAUGCCGCGUGUGUGAAGAAGGCCUUCGGGUUGUAAAGCACUUUCAGCGGGGAGGAAGGCGUUAAGGUUAAUAACCUUGUCGAUUGACGUUACCCGCAGAAGAAGCACCGGCUAACUCCGUGCCAGCAGCCGCGGUAAUACGGAGGGUGCAAGCGUUAAUCGGAAUUACUGGGCGUAAAGCGCACGCAGGCGGUCUGUCAAGUCGGAUGUGAAAUCCCCGGGCUCAACCUGGGAACUGCAUUCGAAACUGGCAGGCUAGAGUCUUGUAGAGGGGGGUAGAAUUCCAGGUGUAGCGGUGAAAUGCGUAGAGAUCUGGAGGAAUACCGGUGGCGAAGGCGGCCCCCUGGACAAAGACUGACGCUCAGGUGCGAAAGCGUGGGGAGCAAACAGGAUUAGAUACCCUGGUAGUCCACGCCGUAAACGAUGUCGAUUUGGAGGUUGUGCCCUUGAGGCGUGGCUUCCGGAGCUAACGCGUUAAAUCGACCGCCUGGGGAGUACGGCCGCAAGGUUAAAACUCAAAUGAAUUGACGGGGGCCCGCACAAGCGGUGGAGCAUGUGGUUUAAUUCGAUGCAACGCGAAGAACCUUACCUGGUCUUGACAUCCACAGAACUUAGCAGAGAUGCUUUGGUGCCUUCGGGAACUGUGAGACAGGUGCUGCAUGGCUGUCGUCAGCUCGUGUUGUGAAAUGUUGGGUUAAGUCCCGCAACGAGCGCAACCCUUAUCCUUUGUUGCCAGCGGUUAGGCCGGGAACUCAAAGGAGACUGCCAGUGAUAAACUGGAGGAAGGUGGGGAUGACGUCAAGUCAUCAUGGCCCUUACGACCAGGGCUACACACGUGCUACAAUGGCAUAUACAAAGAGAAGCGACCUCGCGAGAGCAAGCGGACCUCAUAAAGUAUGUCGUAGUCCGGAUUGGAGUCUGCAACUCGACUCCAUGAAGUCGGAAUCGCUAGUAAUCGUAGAUCAGAAUGCUACGGUGAAUACGUUCCCGGGCCUUGUACACACCGCCCGUCACACCAUGGGAGUGGGUUGCAAAAGAAGUAGGUAGCUUAACCUUCGGGAGGGCGCUUACCACUUUGUGAUUCAUGACUGGGGUGAAGUCGUAACAAGGUAACCGUAGGGGAACCUGCGGUUG